This 301-nucleotide ribosomal RNA is filed under the name uncultured bacterium. Its description in RNAcentral is "partial 16S ribosomal RNA". It matches the Rfam family "Bacterial small subunit ribosomal RNA", at positions 509 to 807 of the family's 1533-position model. The record is from RNAcentral.
CAGUAGCCGCGGGAAUACGAAGGGGGCUAGCGUUGCUCGGAAUCACUGGGCGUAAAGGGUGCGUAGGCGGGUCUUUAAGUCAGGGGUGAAAUCCUGGAGCUCAACUCCAGAACUGCCUUUGAUACUGAAGAUCUUGAGUUCGGGAGAGGUGAGUGGAACUGCGAGUGUAGAGGUGAAAUUCGUAGAUAUUCGCAAGAACACCAGUGGCGAAGGCGGCUCGCUGGCCCGAUACUGACGCUGAUGCACGAAAGCGUGGGGAGCAAACAGGAUUAGAUACCCCAGUAGUCCCUGUCUCUUAUAC